AGUCGUUCUUUGGUGCACAAAGUCUUCUUACUUACAAAUGUCAGGACUAAUGAAAAAAGAAAAGCAGUUAGCUAAAAAUCAGAGCCUAUUCUCUGCAUAUUAGAAUGGCCAGCACUAGGACCUCGGCAGUGAACAGUAUGCAGGCCCAGACACUCUAUGCUUGACAGCACUGAUAAUGUGGCCGUGUUGGAAUCCAUGAUGGAGUGAGUUGAAUGGUGAACACAACUGUGAACUAGAAAGCAGUACAUGUGACUGCAUUUAAAAAAACUGUUUGGGCCCAAGGUCAAAAGAGAGAUUAUGAAGUACUACUGGCAUCUAGGAAAGAUUCCACCCCAACUCUCCCUCUCUUCAUCCCCCUUUCAUUUGGUAACUGAAGGGGCUGGGUGAGAACAUUGCCAAGGCUGGAAGAUCCAGAGCACAGGUGGGAUCUGCUUCCUUUUUGGCAGACUAGGGAUCUGGGUAACAGCAUACUGUUUUGUGG
Molecule: long non-coding RNA, 481 nt
Filed under: Cricetulus griseus (Chinese hamster)
Lineage: Eukaryota; Metazoa; Chordata; Mammalia; Rodentia; Cricetidae
Description: lncRNA (ENSCGRG00015043316.1)
Source: RNAcentral